GCUUGCCCUGAAUAUAUUAGCAUGGAAUAAUGAUAUAGGCGAAUGCGUCUAUUUUGUUGGUUUCUAGACGCAAUCGAAUGAUUAAUAGGGACAGUUGGGGGCAUUCGUAUUAUGACGUCAGAGGUGGAAUUCUUGGAUUGUCAUACGACGAACUACUGCGAAAGCAUUUGCCAAGGAUGUUUUCAUUGAUCAAGAACGAAAGUAAGGGGAUCGAAGACGAUUAGAUACCGUCGUAGUCUUUACCAUAAACUAUGCCAACUAGAGAUUCGGCGUCGUUCUUUGUAUGACUCGCUGAGCACCUUAUGAGAAAUCAAAGUUUUUGGGUUCCGGGGGGAGUAUGGACGCAAGGCUGGAACUUAAAGGAAUUGACGGAAGGGCGCCACCAGGAGUGGAGCCUGCGGCUUAAUUUGACUCAACACGGGAAAACUCACCAGGUCCAGACAUAGUAAGGAUUGACAGAUUGAUAGCUCUUUCUUGAUUUUAUGGGUGGUGGUGCAUGGCCGUUCUUAGUUCGUGGAGUGAUUUGUCUGCUUAAUUGCGUUAACGAACGAGACCUUAACCUGCUAAAUAGGAGCGUCUAUCUUCGGAUAAGAUGCUUUCUUCUUAGAGGGACUUUGUGUUUUUCAGCGCAAGGGAGUUUGAGGCAAUAACAGGUCUGUGAUGCCCUUAGAUGUUCUGGGCUGCACGCGCGCUACACUGAUGCGUUCAACGAGUGUAUCACCUUGUCCGACAGGAUUGGGUAAUCUUUUGAACACGCAUCGUGAUGGGGAUAGAUUAUUGCAAUUAUUGAUCUUCAACGAGGAAUUCCUAGUAAUGAUGGUUCAUUAGACCGUCGUGAUUACGUCCCUGCCCUUUGUACACACCGCCCGUCGCUCCUACCGAUUGAGCAAUCCGGUGAAUAUUUCGGACCGGACCCUGUCGGGGCAACUCGUUCAGGGACUGGAAAGUCAAGUUAACCUUAUUGCUUAGAGGAAGGAGAAGUCGUAACAAGGUUUCCGUAG
This 1001-nucleotide ribosomal RNA is filed under the name Amoebophrya sp. RNAcentral describes it as "SSU rRNA". It matches the Rfam family "Eukaryotic small subunit ribosomal RNA", at positions 788 to 1808 of the family's 1831-position model. Lineage: Eukaryota; Dinophyceae; Syndiniales; Amoebophryaceae. The record is from RNAcentral.